CGUUUUAGCAGAAGAACACAGUCUUGGAAAUUCGUGUUUUGCGCACGCCCUGAAGAAAUUACGCAUCUGCUAAAAUCGGUUUCCUAUUGAACAUACUUCUUUCCGUGAGAAAUAUUAUAGUUUGAUACAUUUAAGGGUAUCUGAGGAGUAAAUAGAAACGUAUUUUGACUUGUUGCAACAAAGUUUAGGGGUAGAUUUUCGGAUUCCUUUCUCUGCGUGUUGAACGAGUGGAUUACUCAAAUCGAUGGCGCCAACUAAACAGACUUUUUGGGAUAUAAAGAAGGAUUUUGUCUAACAAAACGACACUACAUGUUAUAGCUGGGACCUUUUGGAUGACAAAUUAGAGGAAGAUUUUCAAAAAAUCUCUUGAUCCAUCCUCUGGCUGCAUUUUAAGUACAUAGGUUCCACAAGGUAGGGGUGUACCCCCUGCUACUCCUCAGUAAGAGCAAGAAGGAAACGUUUUGUCGUCAACUGCAGUGUCCUCACAGUGGUAUGAUGAAUCAGACCUCAAUGGCAGCAAUCCAAAGGUUGUUGGUGGCAAUUGUGAAAGGUAUUUGGACAGAAAUAUGUAUGCAUGUCUUCCUUAAGACCCUAUCCUUCAACCACCACAUCCGUCAGACUGUAAAAAAAACAAAUGAUUCAACUUACGCAAAUUCGCCAAAGUCAGCCUCUCCUGUCCUGCUGGCCGAAACUCUCAUCCAUGCUUUCAUCUUCUCCCGAAUAGACUAUUUCAACUCACUACUCCCUGGCACUAACACAAACUCCCUCUAUAAGCUCAAUGGUUCAAAACUCAGCAGCCCAUCUUCUAACCCACACUAAAUCCUGGCAGAAUAUUACCCCCAUCCUCUGUGGGCUCACUUCAACCAGGUUGAACCCCCAAUAAUCCCUACCACCCAGGAGACCAGCUACACCCCCAUUCUCAACCAGGUUGAACCCCCGAUAUCCCCCACCGCCCAGGAGACCAGCUACACCCGGAUCCCCAACCAGGUUGAACCCCCGAAAACCCCCACCGCCCAGGAGACCAGCUACACCCAAACCGAACCAAAGAAGACGGGAAGAAAGUCCUGUCACCCUCAAAAAACCAUCUAACCCGCUGAGCAUGACAGUCAACCCCCAACCAAGGAAGUAGAAAUAUGACUACAUGCAAAAAGUGUCCAGUGCAUCCGGAGCAAAUGAUUUUCCCUAUUCUCAAAAUUCUUGCCAAUAGAACUUCAAAGGAGGGUCAGGAGCAGAAAGUGAAGUGGAAGCCGUGCUCUGGAUGUGACUUGCCCAAAAUGUUGCACUGGUCUGGCUCUUGAUGUACUGGCCCUUGGAGCUGAAGAAAUUAUGAAUAAAAAGGUUUUUAAUUCAAAA
Molecule: long non-coding RNA, 1353 nt
Filed under: Salmo salar (Atlantic salmon)
Lineage: Eukaryota; Metazoa; Chordata; Actinopteri; Salmoniformes; Salmonidae
Description: lncRNA (ENSSSAG00000101808.1)
Source: RNAcentral